RNAcentral lists this ribosomal RNA (434 nucleotides) under uncultured Ruminococcus sp. RNAcentral's name for it is "partial 16S ribosomal RNA". It matches the Rfam family "Bacterial small subunit ribosomal RNA", at positions 341 to 792 of the family's 1533-position model. The record is from RNAcentral. Lineage: Bacteria; Bacillati; Bacillota; Clostridia; Eubacteriales; Oscillospiraceae.
ACGGAAGGCAGCAGUGGGGAAUAUUGGGCAAUGGACGAAAGUCUGACCCAGCGACGCCGCGUGAAGGAAGAAGGUCUUCGGAUUGUAAACUUUAGUCAACAGGGACGAAGAAGACGGUACCUGUGAAGCAAGCUCCGGCUAACUACGUGCCAGCAGCCGCGGUAAUACGUAGGGAGCAAGCGUUAUCCGGAAUUACUGGGUGUAAAGGGAGUGUAGGCGGGACUGUAAGUCAGAUGUGAAAUAUACCGGCUCAACUGGUAGACUGCAUUUGAAACUGCGGUUCUUGAGUGAAGUAGAGGUAAGCGGAAUUCCUAGUGUAGCGGUGAAAUGCGUAGAUAUUAGGAGGAACAUCAGUGGCGAAGGCGGCUUACUGGGCUUUAACUGACGCUGAGGCUCGAAAGCGUGGGGAGCAAACAGGAUUAGAUACCCUGGUA